RNAcentral lists this ribosomal RNA (248 nucleotides) under uncultured Actinomycetales bacterium. RNAcentral's name for it is "partial 16S ribosomal RNA". It matches the Rfam family "Bacterial small subunit ribosomal RNA", at positions 82 to 334 of the family's 1533-position model. The record is from RNAcentral. Lineage: Bacteria; Bacillati; Actinomycetota; Actinomycetes; Actinomycetales.
CUUGGGUACUCGAGUGGCGAACGGGUGAGUAACACGUGGGUGAUCUGCCCUGCACUUCGGGAUAAGCCUGGGAAACUGGGUCUAAUACCGGAUAGGACCACAUUUUGGAUGGUGUGGUGGAAAGUUUUUCGGUGUGGGAUGAGCUCGCGGCCUAUCAGCUUGUUGGUGGGGUAAUGGCCUACCAAGGCGUCGACGGGUAGCCGGCCUGAGAGGGUGUACGGCCACAUUGGGACUGAGAUACGGCCCAG